This 107-nucleotide small nucleolar RNA is filed under the name Brassica napus (rape). Its description in RNAcentral is "Plant small nucleolar RNA R71". It matches the Rfam family "Plant small nucleolar RNA R71". Rfam says of the family: R71 is a member of the C/D box family of snoRNAs containing the C (UGAUGA) and D (CUGA) box motifs. Multiple nearly identical copies of this snoRNA have been identified in Arabidopsis, and it is thought to function as a 2'-O-ribose methylation guide for 18S ribosomal RNA. The record is from Rfam by way of RNAcentral. Lineage: Eukaryota; Viridiplantae; Streptophyta; Magnoliopsida; Brassicales; Brassicaceae. RNAcentral also lists the same sequence under 1 other name.
AAGCCAUGAUGUGGGCAUUGAGACCAAUAGCCCUUGAACCUCUCCCAUGCUUUACUAAAUCCCUCUAGGUUCUUCUGCUGAAAGCUAGAGAUCUCAUUCCUGAUCUU